Molecule: ribosomal RNA, 147 nt
Filed under: Triticum aestivum (bread wheat)
Lineage: Eukaryota; Viridiplantae; Streptophyta; Magnoliopsida; Poales; Poaceae
Description: partial small subunit ribosomal RNA
Source: RNAcentral
AUGGCCUCCCUCACCAUGCUCGUUUCUUGGGUAUUUUGGAACAAGAGAAAUGCCCGUGUUUUCCGCCACAAAAGCACACCGCCGACGAUUCUUCUUGCCAACAUUUUAGAAGAUGCAAAACUUUGGGUGAUGGCGCAAAGAAACUAG